CCCUUAGAUGUUCUGGGCCGCACGCGCGCUACACUGAUGAAUUCAACGAGCACUAACCUGUGCCGAAAGGUUCGGGUAAUCUUGUGAAAUUUCAUCGUGAUGGGGAUUGAUUAUUGCAAUUUUUAAUCAUAAACGAGGAAUGCCUAGUAAGCGUGAGUCAUCAGCUCACGUUGAUUACGUCCCUGCCCUUUGUACACACCGCCCGUCGCUCCUACCGAUUGAAUGUGCCAGUGAAAAGUUCGGAUUGGAGAUAGGAGACGGCAACGUAUCCUAUUUCCGAGAAAAUCUUUAAACUUUCCCAUUUAGAGGGAGGAGAAGUCGUAACA
RNAcentral lists this ribosomal RNA (326 nucleotides) under uncultured eukaryote. Its description in RNAcentral is "partial 18S ribosomal RNA". It matches the Rfam family "Eukaryotic small subunit ribosomal RNA", at positions 1470 to 1796 of the family's 1831-position model. The record is from RNAcentral.